CACGGGGCUUUCCUGAGCCUCCAUGACGUCCAGGGUGUAGAGCUUGUGAUGGCGGCAGUAGGACAGAGCCAGGGAACACCAUGCCGCCAGCUGUUUCUGUCUGGUGUCAACAUUGGGCUGUAGCCUGUCCACAAAGAGAAGAACGAAAGAUGUCAGCACAAGUCUGAACUCCAUUCA
Sebastes umbrosus (honeycomb rockfish) is the source of this 177-nucleotide long non-coding RNA. RefSeq lists it as uncharacterized. Lineage: Eukaryota; Metazoa; Chordata; Actinopteri; Perciformes; Sebastidae. The record is from RefSeq and is a predicted model, not a curated record. The transcript is spliced from 3 exons.